UAAUAUGAGAGUUUGAUCUUGGCUCAGGAUGAACGCUGGCGGCGUGCCUAAUACAUGCAAGUCGAACGAACUUCCGUUAAUUGAUUAUGACGUACUUGUACUGAUUGAGAUUUUAACACGAAGUGAGUGGCGAACGGGUGAGUAACACGUGGGUAACCUGCCCAGAAGUAGGGGAUAACACCUGGAAACAGAUGCUAAUACCGUAUAACAGAGAGAACCGCAUGGUUUUCUUUUAAAAGAUGGCUCUGCUAUCACUUCUGGAUGGACCCGCGGCGUAUUAGCUAGUUGGUGAGGUAAAGGCUCACCAAGGCAGUGAUACGUAGCCGACCUGAGAGGGUAAUC
This 342-nucleotide ribosomal RNA is filed under the name Pediococcus pentosaceus. Its description in RNAcentral is "bacterial SSU rRNA". It matches the Rfam family "Bacterial small subunit ribosomal RNA", at positions 1 to 305 of the family's 1533-position model. The record is from RNAcentral. Lineage: Bacteria; Bacillati; Bacillota; Bacilli; Lactobacillales; Lactobacillaceae.